UGGAUGAGGCCUCGGUUCAAUGAGAGCCCCAGGCAGGAGAUGGCCACACCCAGGUAAACGCUGCAUUUCUACAAUAGCCAUCUGUGCAGGCCCUGCAUGCUCUGUAACCUGGGGAUUUGGUCUUCUGAAAAGGGCACUAGAGAAAAACUGCUCUUAAGCCUCUGUUAACUGACACAGCAGUAGAACUCCAAGGUGUUGACCCUUGGAUUCAUGUUUCUCAACUUCAGAGACACACAUCACUCCUUCCUGACCACUGGGCAUCCAACCCACCAGGAGCUGCUAAACUGAGAGCUGUUAGAAAUCCUCCAAAAGUGCUCACUGCAGAAGUUGGUAGCUUCUGCUCAAGAUGGCAGAACAAGAUUAAUAACUUUUGUAUUCUUCAGCACCUUUUUUAUUUUCCAUUAUCACACUUUGAUACCCUCUAAAACAUUAAAACACCUUCUAGAAUGCU
Pongo pygmaeus (Bornean orangutan) is the source of this 451-nucleotide long non-coding RNA. RefSeq lists it as uncharacterized. NCBI's taxonomy places the organism in Eukaryota, Metazoa, Chordata, Mammalia, Primates, Hominidae. The record is from RefSeq and is a predicted model, not a curated record. The transcript has 2 exons.